RNAcentral lists this transfer RNA (78 nucleotides) under Pseudomonadales bacterium. RNAcentral's name for it is "tRNA-Phe". It matches the Rfam family "tRNA". From Rfam's summary of the family: Transfer RNA (tRNA) molecules are approximately 80 nucleotides in length. Their secondary structure includes four short double-helical elements and three loops (D, anti-codon, and T loops). Further hydrogen bonds mediate the characteristic L-shaped molecular structure. tRNAs have two regions of fundamental functional importance: the anti-codon, which is responsible for specific mRNA codon recognition, and the 3' end, to which the tRNAs corresponding amino acid is attached (by aminoacyl-tRNA synthetases). tRNAs cope with the degeneracy of the genetic code in two manners: having more than one tRNA (with a specific anti-codon) for a particular amino acid; and 'wobble' base-pairing, i.e. permitting non-standard base-pairing at the 3rd anti-codon position. The record is from RNAcentral. RNAcentral also lists the same sequence under 1 other name. Lineage: Bacteria; Pseudomonadati; Pseudomonadota; Gammaproteobacteria; Pseudomonadales.
GGACCUGUAACUCAGUCUGGUAAGAGUGCUGGCCUGAAAAGCCAGAUGUCGUCCGUUCGAGUCGGACCGGGUCCGCCA